AGAAUUUGAUCUGGUCAGGAUGAACGCUGACAGAAUGCUUAACACAUGCAAGUCUACUUGAUCCUCGGGUGAAGGUGGCGGACGGGUGAGUAACGCGUAAAGAACUUGCCUUACAGACUGGGACAACAUUUGGAAACGAAUGCUAAUACUGGAUAUUAUGAUUGGGUCGCAUGAUCUGGUUAUGAAAGCUAUAUGCGCUGUGAGAGAGCUUUGCGUCCCAUUAGUUAGUUGGUGAGGUAACGGCUCACCAAGACGAUGAUGGGUAGCCGGCCUGAGAGGGUGAACGGCCACAAGGGGACUGAGACACGGCCCUUACUCCUACGGGAGGCAGCAGUGGGGAAUAUUGGACAAUGGACCAAAAGUCUGAUCCAGCAAAUUCUGUGUGCACGAUGAAGUUUUUCGGAAUGUAAAGUGCUUUCAGUUGGGAAGAAGUCAGUGACGGUACCAACAGAAGAAGCGACGGCUAAAUACGUGCCAGCAGCCGC
Molecule: ribosomal RNA, 485 nt
Filed under: uncultured bacterium
Lineage: Bacteria
Description: bacterial SSU rRNA
Rfam family: Bacterial small subunit ribosomal RNA
Source: RNAcentral